Molecule: ribosomal RNA, 497 nt
Filed under: uncultured bacterium
Lineage: Bacteria
Description: partial 16S ribosomal RNA
Rfam family: Bacterial small subunit ribosomal RNA
Source: RNAcentral
GAUGAACGCUGGCGGCGUGCCUAAUACAUGCAAGUCGAGCGAACGGACGAGAAGCUUGCUUCUCUGAUGUUAGCGGCGGACGGGUGAGUAACACGUGGAUAACCUACCUAUAAGACUGGGAUAACUUCGGGAAACCGGAGCUAAUACCGGAUGAUAUUUUGAACCGCAUGGUUCAAAAGUGAAAGACGGUCUUGCUGUCACUUAUAGAUGGAUCCGCGCUGCAUUAGCUAGUUGGUAAGGUAACGGCUUACCAAGGCAACGAUGCAUAGCCGACCUGAGAGGGUGAUCGACCACACUGGAACUGAGACACGGUCCAGACUCCUACGGGAGGCAGCAGUAGGGAAUCUUCCGCAAAGGGCGAAAGCCUGACGGAACAACGCCGCGUGAGUGAUGAAGGUCUUCGGAUCGUAAAACUCUGUUAUUAGGGAAGAACAUAUGUGUAAGUAACUGUGCACAUCUUGACGGUACCUAAUCAGAAAGCCACGGCUAACUACGUG